AGGGCAGGAAGUUUACUAGAAGAGUUGUU
Molecule: non-coding RNA, 29 nt
Filed under: Rattus norvegicus (Norway rat)
Lineage: Eukaryota; Metazoa; Chordata; Mammalia; Rodentia; Muridae
Source: RNAcentral